AAGCAGAACCUCUCCUGUACUUAGAGAGACUCAAACAAGACAGAAGGUGAGCAGGCUAGAACAGCAGGACGUGCUGUCAACUUGGAGCAGGGUGGCUUACCGGAACAUCUAACAAACUAAGGCUGUUGGUCAAAAUCAUUGGUCGCAGCAUUGGAUCAAGCAAAUUCCUGAGAUUGGCAUGCCUGGUAACAAGUGGCUGGCAAACAUGGGAUAGUGUACCUGGUCCCCGUCUAACAGUGGAAUAAUCCUGAUAUUCCGUUCCUAGACAGGGCAAGAAGCUGAACAUGUGGGUAUAGACUAAGAGAAAAAGAGAGAAAUUGCAGCUCCAGCAUUUGGAAAAGAAGCUGUCAGAAGAGGAAUGGAAUGUUAACAAGCCAGAUCCAGC
Long non-coding RNA from Mauremys mutica (yellowpond turtle), 385 nucleotides. RefSeq lists it as uncharacterized. Lineage: Eukaryota; Metazoa; Chordata; Testudines; Geoemydidae. The transcript has 3 exons. The record is from RefSeq and is a predicted model, not a curated record.